RNAcentral lists this unclassified non-coding RNA (342 nucleotides) under Hevea brasiliensis (rubber tree). Lineage: Eukaryota; Viridiplantae; Streptophyta; Magnoliopsida; Malpighiales; Euphorbiaceae. The record is from RNAcentral.
GUUCUCGAAGUGAACUGCAAGAAUUGGCUGCUUAAAUGAGAAGUUGUUCGCCAUAGAACUGGUGCUGGAUUCUGUUGUACCUGCUGUGUUGUUGAGGCAGUUGAAAUAAUUCGAGCAGUUAUGCCUUGUAGGCAGCGGUUGUUGUGAUCAUAAAGGCAGUGAACUUCACAAUUCUCAUUGAUUUGGGCCUGGGCUCUAGAAGCAACUUGCCGUAGGAUUAAUAGUCUGCAUGUGGAAUGAACGUAAUUUGUAUUAUAAUGAAGGUGCUUUAUUCAGGCAUUUUUUGUUGGUUGCAGUUUUGAGACGGAAUUAAAGCUGGUGGUAUUCGAGUGAAAACCGGGG